This 560-nucleotide ribosomal RNA is filed under the name uncultured organism. RNAcentral describes it as "bacterial SSU rRNA". It matches the Rfam family "Bacterial small subunit ribosomal RNA", at positions 127 to 679 of the family's 1533-position model. The record is from RNAcentral.
UACCCUCGAGAUUGAGAUAACCCCGGGAAACCGGGGCUAAUACCGAAUGAAGCAUGACCUGUGAGAUGGUGAUGUGAAAGUGGCGCAAGUCACGUUUGGGGAGCAGCCUGCGUCCUAUCAGCUUGUUGGCGGGGUAACGGCCCACCAAUGCGAAGACGGGUAGCUGAUCUGAGAGGAUGAUCAGCCACACUGGGACUGAGACACGGCCCAGACUCCUACGGGAGGCAGCAGUAGGGAAUAUUGCGCAAUGGGGGAAACCCUGACGCAGCGACGCCGCGUGAGCGAAGAAGGCUUUAUUAGUCGUAAAGCUCUGUAGGGAGGGAAGAACCGCAGGUGGUAACGCAUCUGUCUGACGGUACCUCCAAAGUAAGGACCGGCUAAAUACGUGCCAGCAGCCGCGGUAAUACGUAUGGUCCGAGCGUUGUCCGGAAUUACUGGGCAUAAAGGGUGCGUAGGCGGAUGUGUAAGUCAGGUGUGAAAGCCCUCGGCUCAACCGGGGAAUAGCGCUUGAAACUGCACGUCUGGAGCAUGUCAGAGGCAGGCGGAAUUCCCGGAGUAGC